Molecule: long non-coding RNA, 476 nt
Organism: Melitaea cinxia (Glanville fritillary)
Lineage: Eukaryota; Metazoa; Arthropoda; Insecta; Lepidoptera; Nymphalidae
Exons: 2
Source: RefSeq, a predicted model, not a curated record
GCGCACGUCGAGCACGUGCACCUCAAGAAGCCCUGGCCGCGCCGCGCGCGCGCGCGCCCUCACGAGCACUGCCUCGCGUAACCGGAACUGUAGACAUCUUAGAAAUAAUUCAUACUCAUAAAAAAUAGUAUUUAAUAAUUUAUAAACACAAGUGAUUCUCAAAGUAUUAUUUAAAAAAAAAUUGAUAAUAAUUGGUAUAUUUUUAAGGAAAUCAUGAAUUAAGAAAUCGUAGAGUGCGAUAUAGUUAAAUAGUUUUGGAGCAAAAAGAUCUCAUAUAUUUGUGUUUUUUUUUUAUAAUUUAAUUUAAACUAAGAUUUAUGUGUAAUAUUGACUUAAAGUAUUGUGUAUAAAUUAGCUGUAAGAUCAAAAUUAUGUUGUAAUGUGUUUGUGAGCGUAUUGUGUUUGUGUGCGUUGAUAGAAAGUAAUACGAUUGAUAUUUAUACUCGAAUAAUGUUUAUCAUUUGACAUCUGAAAAA